RNA transcript from Mus pahari (shrew mouse), 460 nucleotides. It is a transcript of the gene named eukaryotic translation elongation factor 1 epsilon-1 pseudogene, with no coding region annotated. The record is from RefSeq and is a predicted model, not a curated record. Lineage: Eukaryota; Metazoa; Chordata; Mammalia; Rodentia; Muridae. The transcript has a single exon.
GGGCCAGAAGAUGGCGGCGGCCGCGGAGCUGAGGCUGCUGGAGAAGAGCCUGGGACUGAAGCCGGGGAAUAAGUACAGUGCCCAGGGCGAGCGACAGAUUCCAGUUCUACAAACAAACAAUGGCCCAAGUCUAAUGGGACUGAGUACCAUCGCGACCCAUCUAGUCAAGCAAGCCAAUAAGGAGCACUUGCUGGGGAGCACUGCAGAAGAAAAGGCAAUAGUUCAGCAGUGGUUAGAGUUCAGGGUCACUCGAAUAGAUGGACACUCCAAUAAAGAAGACACCCAGACUCUGCUGAAGGAUCUUAAUUCCUAUCUAGAAGAUAAAGUCUACCUUGCAGGACAUAACAUCACCCUGGCGGACAUCCUGCUGUACUACGGCCUCCACCGCUUCAUAGUUGACCUGACAGUUCAAGAAAAGGAGAAAUAUCUUAAUGUGUCUCGCUGGUUUUGUCACAUUCAA